AAAGAAAAUAGUUCAGCACUAAGUCACUUUGUCUUUAUGGCAAAUGUGAGAUGCAGUGUAUGGAACAUCAAUAUUCUAGUAUGAGAAAUUAAUGAUUUAAGUCCUUCUUAAAUGAGGCCAUUUACCCAUAGAGGGUGCCAGGCCCGUAUAACGUUAAUGAUUACUAGAUGGUGUUUCCAAAGAGUCGUGUUGCUUGAUAGUGCAGCACUAAGUGGGUGGUAAACUCCAUCUAAAACUAAAUAUAACCAUGAGACCGAUAGUAAACAAGUACCGUGAGGGAAAGUUGAAAAGAACUCUGAAUAGAGAGUUAAAUAGUACGUGAAACUGCUUAGAGGUUAAGCCCGAUGAACCUGAAUAUCCGUUAUGGAAAAUUCAUCAUUAUAAUUGUAAUAUUUAAAUAAUAUUAUAAUAAUAGUGUGCAUUUUUUCCAUAUAAGGACAUUGUAAUCUAUUAACAUAAACCAAAUUUAUCAUAAAAUAUGACUUAUAGUUUAUUUAAAUUAUUUUGCUUGCAAUUUAACAUAAAAUAAAUGUCAUUAAUUUGAUAAAGUGUUGAUAGAUUUAUAUGAAUACAGUGCGUUAAUUUUUUUAAAAUUAUAUAAUAGCAUGAUUAUCAUUGAUUUUCUAUGUUUAUUAUAUGCACUUGUAUGAUUAA
Molecule: ribosomal RNA, 654 nt
Filed under: Drosophila neocordata
Lineage: Eukaryota; Metazoa; Arthropoda; Insecta; Diptera; Drosophilidae
Description: eukaryotic LSU rRNA
Rfam family: Eukaryotic large subunit ribosomal RNA
Source: RNAcentral